GAUUCCAAUAACUCGUGCCAGUAAAGUUGCUGGUGAAUCAUUUUGGAAAAGUACCUAAAACAGAAGUUUUAUUUUAGCCAAUUUGCACAGUGGUCACAAAAAGGUAACCGAACUGCAGAAUGUUGUGUAUCAUAUGCUUCUAAGUGAUAUGAGAAAUUAUUCAGGCAAAAGGAAAAUUUCUAAAUUAUCAAGUCCUCAGAGAUAGUUAUUCAAAGUAAUGGUUAAUAAAGGAUCUCAAAGAAUAGGUCAUCACAUCAAAGAAAUUCCAAAUAAAAUUAGCAAAAUCCAUUAGCCCCAAAUGUGAAGAUAAUUCCACAGAGAAAACACAAAUUUAGAGAAGGUAUCAUCAUAUCAAUGUAGAAUUCCAUAGAGAAAACAGAAAUUUAGAGAUGGUAUCAUCAUUUCAAUGUAGAAUUCCAUAGAGAAAACAGAAAUUUAGAGAUGGUAUCAUCAUU
This 455-nucleotide unclassified non-coding RNA is filed under the name Hevea brasiliensis (rubber tree). The record is from RNAcentral. Lineage: Eukaryota; Viridiplantae; Streptophyta; Magnoliopsida; Malpighiales; Euphorbiaceae.